UACGGAGGGUGCGAGCGUUACCCGGAAUCACUGGGCGUAAAGCGCACGUAGGCGGCUUGUUAAGUCAGGGGUGAAAUCCUGGAGCUCAACUCCAGAACUGCCUUUGAUACUGGCGAGCUUGAGUCCGGGAGAGGUGAGUGGAACUGCGAGUGUAGAGGUGAAAUUCGUAGAUAUUCGCAAGAACACCAGUGGCGAAGGCGGCUCACUGGCCCGGUACUGACGCUGAGGUGCGGAAGCGUGGGGAGCAAACAGG
Molecule: ribosomal RNA, 253 nt
Filed under: uncultured bacterium
Lineage: Bacteria
Description: partial 16S ribosomal RNA
Rfam family: Bacterial small subunit ribosomal RNA
Source: RNAcentral